Long non-coding RNA from Alosa sapidissima (American shad), 888 nucleotides. RefSeq lists it as uncharacterized. The transcript is spliced from 3 exons. The record is from RefSeq and is a predicted model, not a curated record. NCBI's taxonomy places the organism in Eukaryota, Metazoa, Chordata, Actinopteri, Clupeiformes, Clupeidae.
AAAUGCACUUAAAUGGCUGUUUAAGUUGACUUGCAACUCUUAAUCUUACAAAGAAUAUCUCGAAUAACGCCGUUUUACCAGCCGGCUCAACCGAGGAUUUCGCACGAGGAUUUUCCUAUGUUUUGGUAUUCCCUGAAACGUCAUGAUCUCAGUUAUCCAAAUAUGGUGUGAAAACGUCAGUCCCUUCUUAUUAAACCUAUCAAAAUGUUCACAGAGUCUCCUCAGUUGCCAAUAGGAAGCCCCGUUUACAGCCUUGUGCGACGCGAUUGGUCUACCUACCAUCCUGUCAGAUUAGCAGUGCUAAUGUAGUCUAAUGCUAGCAACAUCUCAUCACACCAAGGCGACAGUUUUCCGUGCUUAUGAAAGCGCAAUUAAGGCAAGAGAACAUCGUGUGGCGAGUCUUGUGACCUUUCGACGCCUGUGGAAGACCCUUGUGCCCUACAUUGUGCGUACAAAGCCAAUGACUGACUUGUGUCGUUGUGAAUCAGCGUGACUGGCAGUCAUUCCUCAAGCCAUUCUUCUGACCUCUCCCUGGUAUAACCAAACACCAGCAUUACAGAAUGAGCAGACUAUCCUGGCUGGGUGUUCUACAAGAAAUUUGCCAAUUCUGAGGAACGUGAAAUAUGCCUGCUCAAAGAGGAUGCACCACCAAUGCAGAGACCCCCUGCUGUCAAGCCUCCUGGUUUGGAUUUGAAACGUCAGGACUAUCUUUACCAACACAUUUGUGAGUUUUGCACCGACAAUACAAAGGACAAUACAUGCCCAAAACCAGCUGGGGAGGUGAGCUGUUUCACUGAGAAAGAACCUAAGAAACGUAGAGUUGAAAUAUGAUUCCAACUAUGUGUCUCUGUGUUUAUGCCACACACACACACACACUCUCUCACUAAC